This 305-nucleotide ribosomal RNA is filed under the name uncultured bacterium. RNAcentral describes it as "bacterial SSU rRNA". It matches the Rfam family "Bacterial small subunit ribosomal RNA", at positions 334 to 635 of the family's 1533-position model. The record is from RNAcentral.
UUCCCCUACGGGGGGUAGCAGUGAGGAAUAUUGGUCAAUGGCUGAGAGGCUGAACCAGCCAAGUCGCGUGAGGGAUGACGGCCCUACGGGUUGUAAACCUCUUUUGUCGGGGAGCAAGACCCGCCUCGUGCAGGCGGAGCGAGAGUACCCGAAGAAAAAGCAUCGGCUAACUCCGUGCCAGCAGCCGCGGUAAUACGUAGGGGGCAAGCGUUAUCCGGAUUUACUGGGUGUAAAGGGAGCGUAGACGGCAGCGCAAGUCUGGAGUGAAAUGCCGGGGCUCAACCCCGGAACUGCUUUGGAAACUG